UCUCGUUUAAUACCAUCUUACUGUGGUUACCAAUUUGUCCAUUAAACAUUCAUGUCCAAGGCAUUAUUACUUAUUUACAUUUAAUUCAUAAUCCAUAGGUAUGCAUUCAACUUACCUAAUGUAUCACCAAUCAUGCACAACAAACAAAGCUAACUACCUCGUCACACCAGAAACAUAGAACAUGACAUGAUUAAUUAAGCUUACAAACCAUAGUGAAUAUGGGCCACAUCCCAUGGCCAUAUACGAUAACUCAACGUAGAUCAAUAGGUUAGGCCAAAUCAUAAUAAUAAUACAUGUCAUAAAACUAGCUUCCUAUACAUGCCACUCACUUGAUAUUUCUAAUAUUUGAAUUAAUUCUCCCAAAAAUGAUAGCUUGAUAGUGUGAUUCUGCCUCCGAAGAUCUCCAACCCCGAGCCAACCUGCCAAUACUAAAGAAAUGGCGAGGAGGGGUAAGCUUUACGCUUAGUAAGUCCAUAUGAAAUUAAUAAGCAAUUACAAACAUGCUUGUCAAGAUAAAACACUAUAAUUAUACAAUUACACAUGUUCAGAUUAAGUUGUUUUAUCGAGUUACAGUUACUAAAUCAUUUAUAUCUGGAUAUAAGAAACUCAAAAUUAGGUUCUGUUAAUUUUCCUUGAAAUUAGACUCAUAUACCUUUCUUCCAUAAAAUUUUCAGAAUUUUUGACUUAGCCAAUUAAUACAGUUUAUUCAUUAAAGUUUCCCCUGUUUCAGUGUUCGGCUACUCUGACCUCUGUUCACUACGAAUCAAUUUUAUAUCUGUACAGAAUUCAAAGGGCAAUGCCGUUUAUUUCUCUCAAAAAUAGACUCAAUAAGGAAUUUAUAAAUGUAAAUUAUAACUCCUAAUUAUUUUUUCACAAUUUUUAGUGAAUUUAUAAAAUAGGAACAGAGGAUCUCUAAGUCAUUCAGACUCUAUCUCACAAUAAUUUAAAUAUCUCAUAACAUAAAAUUAAAUUGCGUGUAUCGUUUCCUCUAUGUGAAACUACACUCAUUGAGCUUUAAUCUCAUAUUUUAUUUAUCCCCUAACUCAAUUUACACAAUUUAUGGUGAAUUCCCAAAGUUGCAUCACUGCAGUAACCCAAAACUGCCAAGGCUAAAUUUACUCAAUCACAACUAUUAUUCACUAAAUCUAUACAAUAUCAUUUCAUCCAUCAUGGAAAGAACACAUAAUUAUGCUUCAUAGGCAUAGAUCCAUAAUCUCAAUUUCAUCAAGUAUCAAGACUUAUUCCUCAUCAUGUCAUUUUCAUAGUAUUCACCAAUACUAUAUGCUUCAUAUAUCAAGGCAUCACACGUAAGUUUAGUGUAUAUACCUGUACAACUUGUAAUUUAACUUAAGAACAUACUCACCAAUUGCUUGUCUCAUUGGGACCAUUAUCGAAUACUCCGUCAAAUUACCCGUUGAACACUAGGAAUAUAAUUGAAUAUACGGAAGCCCGUAGCUAGACAAACACAAUAGCCUGCUGUUUAUGUAGCAAAGCUACCAUAAUCUCACCCAUAAUGAACUCGGAAUGCAACUCAACGAGCUCGGGUGUCCGCAUCCAUAAUGAACUCGGAACACAACUCAACGAGCUCAGGUGUUCGCAUCCAUAAUGAACUCGGAACACAACUCAACGAGUUCUGUAACGCCCCAAUUUUCGCGAAUUCUGUGAAUGUUGGCAUAGGUUUAAUUACGUUAGUGGGCCUCUAGAAGGCCCAAGCUUAAGAUAGAACCCGGUAAUUUUAGUUAAUUUUUGUUCCAUAAGAAAAAGGGAGUGAAAUUAUGAAAUAGGACCUAUGUGAAAAUGUUUGAAAAUGCUAUAGGCUAAUUUGUAGUGGCCAAAUAAAUAGUAGUGCAAAAUAGGAGGAUUUGCAUGUCAAAUUCCCCACUUUUAAUGUAGUGGCCGGCCAAGGUGAUGGAUAGUUGAUAAUGUAUGCAUUUUAGCAUUUUAAUAGUUAAUGGAUGGUGGGCAUUAGCAUUUUAAUAGUUAAUGGAUGAUGGGCAUGGUAAGCAUUAUGGGCAUAUUUUUAUUGGAAUUAUGGCAUGAGUAUGGCACAAAUAUUAGUAUAUCAUUUAUGUGUCAUAAAAUGUUGAGUGAUAAGAAUAACAAAAGGAAGUAAAUGAAGGUUUUUGUUCAUUCUUUGUUCUUCAUAGCCGAAUUUGAGAGAGAGCAAAUAGGGGAGGAAACCCUUGAAUAUUCGGUCACUAGGAGGGGGAAAAAUUGAAGGUAAGUUCUUGGUACUUUGCUUCUAUCUUGAUGUUCAUGAGUUCUUCUUGAUUCUAUCCUAACUCAUGAAGCAUAUUUUGGUUUUUGGUUGUUGUUUCAUGUUCUUUUGAUGAAAAAUGGAAGAUAGGUGAAGUUGAGCCAAACAAAUGAGCAUGCAUGUGCCUUAGAUGCUAAGGGGAAAAAUCGGCUAACAUGUUGUGCUUUAAAAUGAUGAAAUGGAGAUUAUACUUAAGUAAAAUCAUAGAUAUGUGAUGAUUGAUUGGUGAUAUACAUGUUUAAAUAACAAGCAUGCAAGUUAGGUGUGAAAGAGUGAUUUGGUAAUAAAUCUGCUUGGGACAGCAGCAGUAACAUGACUUUGGAAAAUCACCAUAAAUUGUGGGAGAUGAAUUAGAAGCUGAAUAAAUUAUGUAAUUAAAGCUUAAUGAGUCUAGUUUCAAAUGAAAUAAACGAGAAUAUAUUUUGAAUUCUGUACAAUGAGAAAUUUGAUUUGUAAUGAAGAGCGGUCAGAUUAGUCAAACAGUGAAACAUGGGAAACUUUAAGAAAAAUCUGGUAUUGAUUGGCAAUACCAAAAAUUCUGAAAAUUUUAUGGAUAAAAGAUAUAUGAGUCUAUUUUCAUGAAAAAUUAACGGCACUUGAUUUGGAGUUUCAUAGCUCCAGUUAUAAAUGAUUUAGUGACUGUUGCUCAGGAAGACAGCUUGCAGUGAAAUUAUGAUUAUGUGGUAAACAUUGACAAAAAUUUGUUAAUGAAUUGCUUAUUGAUUUCUUCUAAGCUUACUAUGAUCUAUAGGUGUGGUUGGCCGAAUAUUGUAAGAGGUUAAUACGUAGUUUGUAUUUGAAUAGUUAGAUUAACGUGUUAGUAAUCCAAUUGUAGGCGGUUCGAGUGUGGAUCUCGUCAGCAUAUCGUCGCAAACAGGUGUGUAACUAACACCCUCUUUCCUAGUCUAGAUCGGCAAAAGUCGAAAAGCUGAAAUGCCGAAAAUCGGUAUUUUGUAGAUUUGCGAGUGUGCGAAUGCUCGUGAGGUAAAUCGAUUAAUGUUUUUGGUAAGCUGUAAUGUUUGGACUGCAAAGUGCAUGAUUUCUGUGCCCUCGAUAUUUUGGGGCUUAAUGGGCCAAAAUUGGAAUGAUGGGCCAACGGGCCCAAUUCGGUAAGAACCCUCGGUAGUGAUUCUGUUAGUACGUGAAAGGUAGGAAUAUGCAUGAAAAACCCUAAAAUAGAUAAAUUACUGAAAUACCUUUAAAAGUGAAAAUUUUACAGUUUUACCCCUAGGAGAUAAAUUACCGAAAUACCCCUAGGGUUAAAUUGACCUAAAUGCAUGUUUGACUGUUGUUAUUUACUUCAUGCCAUGUUGUUAUUAUCUGAUGUAUGGGACUGGGAUAUUGACGGAGGAAGUACUGAAAGUGGCUUGUCCACGUACUGGAGCCUCAAUUUACUGUUAACUGAGCAGCAAGGCUGCAACUGUGGAGUGUUGGGCUAGGUGGGUUGAGCUAUUCCCUACAUGGAGUGUAUGGCUGGUACGGGUGGAGUGUAGUGGUUAGUGGGUUGAGUAGUCUCCCCAAAUGGGCUUGCAUAUGUUUACUGAUGUUGCAUGUAUUUUGAAAUGGGCCUAUGGACCAUACUGUUAUCUGAAUAAGGGGCUAAGGCCCAGUUUAUUGUAAUCUGAAAAGGGUUUUGGCCCAGUACCACUGUUACCUGAAUCGUCUUAGGCCCAAUGGGUUUGAGCUGACUUGGGCUUUGAAUGGGUUUUCCUUACACACUGAGUUUCCCCAAAAUCACCCCUUCUUUAACCUUGCAGGUGAGCCUUGAUAUGGGUGACUUGGAGCCGAAGGGGAUUCAGAGUGGCCAUGGUGAAUACUUUUGGGUUUGAAAAAGAGACUGGUUUUCUUAAGUUAUUUUUAAUUACUAUUUAAUUUUUGGGUUGUAAUAAGGCCAUUUUAAGUUUAUUUUCUUCUUUGAUUUUUCUGGGAUUAUAUUAUUAAAAACAACUUUAAAUUGAUGGAUACUAAUUCAAAUGGGCUAGACUUAGGGCGUGAUUUCAAAAUGAUACUUGUUUUUUUUAAAAUAAUACGACGUCACGAAUAUUCGAUUUACCAAAGAUAAUCACUCAAAGAAAUUUCAACUUGUUAUAAACAAGUGUGGCAAUGGAUGUAGGCAUGUCUAGGAUUGGAUCCAAUCGGAGAGUUUGGUACUUAAGCAGCCUUCAUGGCUCACCUCCUCUAUUAUGGAUACCUACCUGGUGCCCAGCUUCCAUUCACUUGGUUAGUUUGACAAAAGUCGGCUUUUUAAAACACUAAAAAAGGAACACGGGUUUUUGACUUCAAAGUGGCACGUCGGAUUCGGCCUUAACGUCUGGGCCGGGUUUGGGGUGUUACAUUUAGUGGUAUCAGAGCCUAGGUUGCAACAACUCGGCUGUGGAUUGGGUCCAAAAAGGGUUUUCAAAACUUUAUGCCAAAAAAGGGUAUUUUUGGAAAAACUUGACUUUUGAAAAUUUUCUAUUUAAAGGAGAUAAUCUCCGAACUUGUUUUUUUUUAAACACAAAUGUUUAGAAAAUGGAUUUCAAAAAGUCUAAAUCUUUUGGUUUAUCUGAAAACUGAUGAGGUGGCACACUGAAUCCCCGGCACCAAGGUUGUAAGUACUAUUCUGUUUUAUAUACUGAACUGUACUGUAGUUAGUACUAAACCUUAGAGAUAGUACUAUAGAUAAUAUAGCGUAAAGGCUACGAAACUGAGACUGUAGGGUAAACUAAGCCCUAGGAAACUGAGGCAGUAGCUAAACUGUGGUUACGCGAGAACAACUCUGAAACCUUAUCUGUUCAUAAGAUAUUCUGUAAUAAAUAGUGGAAACAGUAAACUAACUACAUAAAAUUCGUAAUCAGAUAAAUCGAUAUAAGUACGAGAGCUACUCGGGAAAGAGGCCGUGGUCGAGGCCGAGGUAGUACUCAAGCUGGAUCUUCGUCUUCUGAACACAUACCCGCUGGAGUAGCAUGACCACUACCGGUGGAUGAGAAUGGGCCGUAUGAUCGGGCCACGGGGGAUGACGCUCUGUCCCAGGCCAUGUUAAGAGUUCUGGAAAGGGUGGCCGGAGCUAAUAUCGGGCCCAUGAAUAGCGGGUCCAUUUCUGAGCGACUCCGGGCCAAUGGAGCGGAAGUUUUUAGGGGUGUAUCUGGAGUAGCCCCAAAUGUGGCUGAGUACUGGUUGGAAGCCACGGAGCGGACUAUGGAUGACUUGGACUACUCAGUAGAGAAAAAGUUAAAAGGAGCAGUAUCCUUACUACGGGACGAGGCGUAUUAGUGGUGGAUCACUGUGAGAGAGGGUACCCCAGCUGAGAGGGUAAAUUGGAAGUUGUUUAAGCAGUCCUUCAAGGCGAAGUAUGUCGGAGCUAGCUAUGUGGAUGCACGAAGGAAGGAAUUCUUGAGCCUGACCUAGGGUGGUAAGACCGUUGCUGAAUAUGAGGCAGAGUUUCUGCGAUUGAGCCUGUAUGCUAAUGGUAUUGUCUCUACCGAAUACGAGCGCAGUGUUCGCUUUGAGGAUGGCCUCAAUGAUGAGCUAAGGGUACUCAUAGCUCCACAAAGAGAGCUCGAUUUUGCUGCACUAGUAGAAAAUGCUAAGAUAGCCGAAGAGGUGAAGCAAGCUGAAUGAAAGAACCGCGACAGGGAUCGAAAUCGGUUCAGGAGAGAUGCUAGACCAACUGGUGCUGCAAACCGAAAUGUUAAGAGAGUUAGGAUGGAGGAACCAAUUCGAGCGAUUCCGGUGAAUAAUGUUAGACCACAAGCUUGUGGAGAUUGUGGUAGAAUGCAUCUGAGGGAAUGUUGGAAACGUUUUGGGGCUUGUCUUCAUUGUGGAUCAAAGGAAUAUAAGAUCAGGGAUUGUCCUAAGAGGCCAGCUCAGGCUCAAGUGGUUGAACAAAGGGCUGUGCAACCCGUGCAAAUAGCGCGAGGUGGACCGUCGCCAUCGAGAGGUCAUGGCCGAGGUCGCGGUGACAAUGGCCAUGGACGUGGGGCACCUGGCAAGGGUACUAUUAACACUGAGGCUCGUCAGCCAGCUUUGGUAUAUGCUGCUCGUCGCCGCGAUGAGGGUGACGCACCUAACGUCAUAACUAGUACAUUUUUUAUUUCUAGCAUGCCGUAUACUGCCUUGGUGGAUGUUGGAUCUACUCAUUCCUAUGUUGCAUGUGCCAUAUCUGGGUCGUUGGGUGUGCACUCUGAGGAGAUUAUGAGUGGGGUAUCUGUACUAAGUCCUUUGAAUCACUCGGUUAGGGUAGACAAACUGUAUAGGGAAGUACCUUUAGAAACUCAAGGUAAGAUUUUCCCUGGAGAUCUGAUAGAGUUACCGUUCGGAGAGUUUGAUCUUAUUUUGGGAAUAGACUGGCUUGUUAAGCAUAAAGCGACUCUGGAUUGUGCUGCUAAACGAAUGGUGUUAAGGACCACAAAGGAUAAGGAGGUUAUGGUGAUAGGUGAGCGAAGGGAUUGUUUGUCCAAUGUGGUAUCGGUAUUAAGAGCCGAAAAGUGGAUUCGGAAAGGUUGUGAGGUCUAUUUGGCAUUUGUAAGUCAGUCAGAAGAGGAGGGACUGACAGUGGAUAAGGUUAGGACCGUAAAGGAGUUCCAAGAUAUUUUUCCGGAGGAGCUUCCAAGAUUGCCUCCGAACCGAGAAGUUGAGUUUGGAAUAAAUUUGUUGCCUGGAACGGCGCCUGUGUCCAUCGCACCGUAUAGGCUGGCACCGAAGGAGUUAGUGGAGUUAAAGGCUCAAAUUCAAGAGUUGCUGGAUAGGGGCUUCAUUAAGCCAAGUGUGUCUCCAUGGGGAGCAUCGGUGCUAUUUGUGAAGAAAAAGGACGGGACAAUGCGCAUGUGCAUCGAUUACCGCCAGUUGAACAAACUGACAAUAAAUAACAAAUACCCUCUGCCAAAGAUUGAUGAUUUAUUUGACCAACUUAGAGGAGCUUCGGUAUUUUCCAAGAUUGACCUUCGAUCUGGAUACCAUCAGUUAAGGGUAAAGGAAGUGGAUAUUCAUAAGACAGCAUUCAGGACUCGAUAUGGUCAUUACGAGUUCCUGGUUAUGCCAUUUGGGUUGACGAACGCACCUGCCGCUUUCAUGGAUCUGAUGAAUCGAGUGUUCCAACCUUACUUGGACCGAUUCGUGGUAGUUUUCAUCGAUGAUAUUCUGGUAUACUCGGAAAUCGAGGAAAAACAUGAGGAGCAUCUACGUAUUGUGCUGCAAGUGCUGAGAGAGAAGGAACUGUAUGCAAAGUUUAGUAAGUGUGAAUUUUGGUUGCGAGAAGUGGCUUUUCUAGGUCAUGUGGUUUCAGCUGAAUGAAUUAAAGUGGAUCCUCGAAAAGUUAAGGCAGUUCUGGGAUGGAAGCCACCAAAAUCAGUAUCGGAAAUUCAGAGUUUUCUGGGUUUGGCAGGCUAUUACCGAAGGUUCGUAGAAGGAUUUUCUCUGAUUGCUGCACCAUUGACGAAACUGUUAAGGAAAGGGGUAGCAUUUGUCUGGACUAAGAGUCAGCAAAAAGCUUUUGACCAUUUAAAAAAGGUAUUGACUGAAGCACCAGUGUUGAUUCAACCGGAGUCUGGGAAGGACUUCACUGUGUACAGCGAUGCGUCACAUGUGGGGUUAGGGUGUGUACUAAUGCAAGAGGGUAAGGUGGUCGCUUAUGCUUCACGGCAGCUUAAGUCUCAUGAAGCGAACUACCCUACGCACGACUUAGAGCUAGCAGCAGUGAUCUUCGCGUUGAAAAUCUGGAGACAUUACUUAUAUGGAGAAAAGUGUAUCAUAUACACGGACCAUAAAAACCUAAAGUAUCUGUUAACUCAGAAGGAGUUAAACCUUAGGCAACGAAGAUGGGUAGAGUUGCUUAAGGAUUACGACUGUUCGAUUGAGUACCACCCAAGUAAGGCUAACGUGGUGGCUGAUGCGUUGAGUCAAAGGGUUGUUUCUGAUUUGAGAGCCUUGUUUGCACGUUUGAGUCUGUUUGAUGAUGGAAGUCUGUUAGCAGAAUUGCAAGUGAGGCCUAUUUGGACUGAGUAGAUUAAAGAAAAACAGUUGAAGGAUAACUCGUUGGUUCUUCGGUUUCAGCAAGUUGAGAAGGAUGAGAAUGAGGAUUUUGGACUGAAUAUUGAAGGAGUUUUAUGCUUCCGAGGAAGAAUUUGUGUUCUAAAGGACUCUCACUUGAGACAGUCAAUAUUGAAGGAAGCUCAUGGGAGACUUUGUGGCAUGCAUCCUGGAGGGAAUAAGUUGUAUCACGACUUGUGAGAACUGUACUGGUGGCCUGGGCUUAAACGAGAAGUAACGGAGUUCGUGGGGAAAUGUCUGACAUGCCAGCAAGUGAAAGCUGAACAUCGAUUUCCUUCUGAAUUACUGCAAGCGGUGAAAAUUCCAUUGUGGAAGUGGGAGAGUCACUAUGGACUUUGUGAGUGGGCUACCUUUGACACCCACCAAGAAAGGUUCUGUGUGGGUAGUGGUGGAUAGGUUAACAAAAUCUGCCCAUUUCAUACCAGUUCGUACUGAUUACUCACUGCAAAAGUUGGCUAGGUUGUAUGUGGCAGAGAUAGUGCGACUAUAUGGAGUGCCAGUGUCGAUUAUUUCCGACCGAGACCCUAUGUUUACAUCUCGGUUCUGGAAGAAGUUGUAGGAGGCGUUGGGUGCACGUUUGGAUUUCAGUACUGGCUUUCACCCACAGACAGAUGGACAGUCGGAGAGGGUUAUUCAGAUUUUGGAGGAUAUGUUAAGGGGUUGUAUCAUCGAUUUUGGUGGGAGUUGGGAGGACUACUUGCCAUUGGCGGAGUUUGCAUACAAUAACAGCUACCAAGCAAGUAUUCAGAUGGCUCCAUAUGAGGCACUUUAUGGGCGGAGAUGUCGUACGCUUACGUGUUGGACAGAGUUAGGUGAACGACAAGUGCUUGGACCGGAGUUGGUGGCAGAUACUGAAAGUAAGGUUAAGUUGAUAAGAGAUCGAUUAAAUGAGGCAUCUGAUAGACAGAAUUCGUAUGCGGAUCAAAAGCGCAAAGAGAUAGAGUUCGCAGUUGGGGAUAUGGUUUUCUUAAAGGUUUCACCUUGGAAGAAGAUCUUGAGAUUCGGCAAGAAAGGCAAAUUGAGUCCGCGGUUUAUAGGGCCUUAUCGAGUUCUUAAGCGGGUAGGGCCAGUAGCGUAUCAGUUAGAAUUACCACCAGAGUUAGACAGAAUCCAUGACGUUUUUCAUGUGUCUAUGUUAAGACGAUAUCGAUCGGAUCCCUCACAUGUUGUGCCAAUGGAGGAGAUUGAAGUAAGGACUGAUUUGACCUUUGAGGAAGAACCCAUACAAAUUUUAGAUCGAGAGGUUAAAGUUCUAAGAAGGAAGUCGGUUCCGUUGGUAAAAGUACUGUAGCGUAAUCAUGGAAGGGAAGAAGCUACUUAGGAAUCAGAAGAGACUAUGUGUCAACAAUACCCUCAACUAUUUGGAUCAGGUAAAUUUCGAGGCCGAAAUUUCUUUAAGGAGGGUAGAGUUGUAACGCCCCAAUUUUCGUGAAUUCUGUGAAUGUUGGCAUAGGUUUAAUUAUGUUAGUGGGCCUCUAGAAGGCCCAAGCUUAAGAUAGAACCCGGUAAUUUUAGUUAAUUUUUGUUCCAUAAGAAAAAGGGAGUGAAAUUAUGAAAUAGGACCAAUGUGAAAAUGUUUGAAAAUGCUAUAGGCUAAUUUGUAGUGGCCAAAUAAAUAGUAGUGCAAAAUAGGAGGAUUUGCAUGUCAAAUUCCCCACUUUUAAUGUAGUGGCCGGCCAAGGUGAUGGAUAGUUGAUAAUGUAUGCAUUUUAGCAUUUUAAUAGUUAAUGGAUGAUGGGCAUUAGCAUUUUAAUAGUUAAUGGAUGAUGGGCAUGGUAAGCAUUAUGGGCAUAUUUUUAUUGGAAUUAUGGCAUGAGUAUGGCACAAAUAUUAGUAUAUCAUUUAUGUGUCAUAAAAUGUUGAGUGAUAAGAAUAACAAAAGGAAGUAAAUGAAGGUUUUUGUUCAUUCUUUGUUGUUCAUAGCCGAAUUUGAGAGAGAGCAAAUAGGGGAGGAAACCCUUGAAUAUUCGGUCACUAGGAGGGGGAAAAAUUGAAGGUAAGUUCUUGGUACUUUGCUUCUAUCUUGAUGUUCAUGAGUUCUUCUUGAUUCUAUCCUAACUCAUAAAGCAUAUUUUGGUUUUUGGUUGUUGUUUCAUGUUCUUUUGAUGAAAAAUGGAAGAUAGGUGAAGUUGAGCCAAACAAAUGAGCAUGCAUGUGCCAUAGAUGCUAAGGGGAAAAAUCGGCUAACAUGUUGUGCUUUAAAAUGAUGAAAUGGAGAUUAUACUUAAGUAAAAUCAUAGAUAUGUGAUGAUUGAUUGGUGAUAUACAUGUUUAAAUAACAAGCAUGCAAGUUAGGUGUGAAAGAGUGAUUUGGUAAUAAAUCUGCUUGGGACAGCAGCAGUAACAUGACUUUGGAAAAUCACCAUAAAUUGUGGGAGAUGAAUUAGAAGCUGAAUAAAUUAUGAAAUUAAAGCUUAAUGAGUAUAGUUUCAAAUGAAAUAAACGAGAAUAUAUUUUGAAUUCUGUACAAUGAGAAAUUUGAUUUGUAAUGAAGAGUGGUCAGACUAGUCAAACAGUGAAACAUGGGAAACUUUAAGAAAAAUCUGGUAUUGAUUGGCCAUACCAAAAAUUCUGAAAAUUUUAUGGAUAGAAGAUAUAUGAGUCUAUUUUCAGGGAAAAUUAACGGCACUUGAUUUGGAGUUUCGUAGCUCUAGUUAUAAAUGAUUUAGUGACUGUUGCUCAGGAAGACAGCUUGCAGUGAAAUUAUGAUUAUGUGGUAAACAUUGACAAAAAUUUGUUAAUGAGUUGCUUAUUGAUUUCUUAUAAGCUUACUAUGAUCUGUAGGUGUGGUUGGCCGAAUAUUGUAAGGGGUUAAUACAUAGUUUGUAUUUGAAUAGUUAGAUUAAUGUGUUAAUAAUCCAAUUGUAGGCGGUUCGUGUGUGGAUCUCGUCAGCAUAUCGUUGCAAACAGGUGUGUAACUAACACCCUCUUUCCUAGUCUAGAUCGGCAAAAGUCGAAAAGCCGAAAUGCCGAAAACUGGUAUUUUGUAGAUUUGCGAGUGUGCGAAUGCUCGUGAGGUAAAUCGAUUAAUGUUUUUGGUAAGCUGUAAUGUUUGGACUGCAAAGUGCAUGAUUUCUGUGCCCUCGAUAUUUUGGGGCUUAAUGGGCCAAAAUUGGAAUGAUGGGCCAACGGGCCCAAUUCGGUAAGAACCCUCGGUAGUGAUUCUGUUAGUACGUGAAAGGUAGGAAUAUGCAUGAAAAACCCUAAAAUAGAUAAAUUACUGAAAUACCUUUAAAAGUAAAAAAUUUACAGUUUUACCCCUAGGAGAUAAAUUACCGAAAUACCCCUAGGGUUAAAUUGACCUAAAUGCAUGUUUGACUGUUGUUAUUUACUUCAUGCCAUGUUGUUAUUAUCUGAUGCAUGGGACUGGGAUAUUGACGGAGGAAGUACUGAAAGUGGCUUGUCCACGUACUGGAGCCUCCAUUUACUGUUAACUGAGCAGCAAGGCUGCAACUGUGGAGUGUUGGGCUGGGUGGGUUGAGCUAUUCCCUACAUGGAGUGUAUGGCUGGUACGGGUGGAGUGUAGUGGUUGGUGGGUUGAGUAGUCUCCCCAAAUGGGCUUGCAUAUGUUUACUGAUGUUGCAUGUAUUUUGAAAUGGGCCUAUGGGCCAUACUGUUAUCUGAAUAAGGGGCUAAGGCCCGGUUUAUUGUAAUCUAAAAAGGGCUCUGGCCCAGUACCACUGUUACCUGAAUGGGCUUAUGCCCAAUGGGCUUGAGCUGACUUGGGCUUUGAAUGGGUUUUCCUUACAUACUGAGUUUCCCCAAACUCACCCCUUCUCUAACCUUGUAGGUGAACCUUAAUAUGGGUGACUUGGAGUCGGAGGGGAUUCAGAGUGGCCAUGGUGAAUACUUUUGGGUUUGGAAAAGAGACUGGUUUUCUUAAGUUAUUUUUAAUUACUAUUUAAUUUUUGGGUUGUAAUAAGGCCAUUUUAACUUUAUUUUUUUCUUUGAUUUUUCUGGGAUUAUAUUAUUAAAAACAACUUUAAAUUGAUGGAUACUAAUUCAAAUGGGCUAGACUUAGGGCGUGAUUUCAAAAUGAUACUUUUUUUUAAAUAACACGACGUCACGAAUAUUCGAUUUACCAAAGAUAAUCACUCAAAGAAAUUUCAACUUGUUAUAACCAAGUGUGGCAAUGGAUGUGGGCAUGUCUAGGAUUGGAUCCAAUCGGAGAGCUUGGUACUUAAGCAGCCUUCAUGGCUCACCUCCUCUGUUAUGGAUACCUACCUGGUGCCCAGCUUCCAUUCACUUAGUUAGUUUGACAAAAGUCGGCUUUUUAAAACACUAAAAAGGGAACACGGGUUUUUGACUUCAAAGUGGCACGUCGGAUUCGGCCUUAACGUCUGGGCCGGGUUUGGGGUGUUACAAGUUCGGAUGCUUGCAUCCAUAGGUGAACUCGGAACGCAACUCAACGAGUUAGGAUGCCUCAUAAUUCUCACGAACUCGGACCACAACUCAACGAGUUCGGAUCUCAAUUUCCUACUGACAUGUCACUUGUAUCCUAACCUAUUCCUAAGGUUCAAACGGGCUCUUUCCUCGAUCAUACGCCUUUGCCAUCUUUCUCGUGAUGUCAAUAUUGAUACUCCGGUGGCAACUCAUAUUUUUCAAGUAUUCCACAUAAUUUGUAUAAUAAUUCAACAAUAAUCAUAGCAUGCAACAAUUCGUAAAUAAUAAUCAUCAUACCAUUAUAAAGACAUCAACAACAUAUAGUAAUGUUACAUUAUUUACAUAAUAUCAAAUUAUUCACAUAUAUGUAUACUUACAAUUCAUAUAAUAUCAUAACAUUAACAUUAAAAUACACAUUGCAUUAUUAAAAUCAUAUGAACUUACCUCGUAUGCGAAAAUGGUCAUUUUUACCAUUUUGUCCACAACUUGGCAUUUUGUCAAUUUUAGCCCGAAUUUCGAUUUUCCUUGCUCUAUCAUUUCAAAUAUAGCCUAAUUAGGACUCAUAUUAUUCAAAUCAACCCAAAAUCAUAUUUUAAAAAAUUACAAUUUUGCCCCUAAACUUUCACAUAUUUACACUUUUGCCCCAAAUCUCGUAAAUUAAACUUCACCCUAUUUUCUUAUGUUUUAUGACAUGAUAAUCAUUUUUCCCUUCUACAGAAACAUCCAAUUCUCACUCUAACAUGUGUUUAUGAACAUUAGGUAUUUUUACCGAUUAUGUCAUUUUACUCGUUUUCACGUAAAAUCGCUUAGCAAAAGUCGUUUAUCUAACACUCAACCUUCAUUUUCUAUCAUUAUACAUCAAAAUACAUGCAUAUUAUUCAUGGGUAAAUUUUUAGACAUGAACCUUAGCUCAAAUUAAUGGUGGAAAUAAGUAGAACAAGUUACCGGGAUUUAAAAAAUGUAAAGAACUUUAAAAAUGGGGAAAAGAUGGACUUACAAUCAAGCUUGGAAGUUUUAAAAACCCUAGCCAUGCCUUCCAUCUCCAUAUACGGUUAUGUCAUGAGAAAAAU
This 13737-nucleotide long non-coding RNA is filed under the name Gossypium barbadense (sea-island cotton). Its description in RNAcentral is "long non-coding RNA (GBAR_LNC006830)". Lineage: Eukaryota; Viridiplantae; Streptophyta; Magnoliopsida; Malvales; Malvaceae. The record is from RNAcentral.